GCUGGGUGUGGUGGCUCACGCCUGUAAUCCCAGCUACUCAGGAGGCUGAAGCAGAAGAAUCACUUGAACCCAGGAGGCAGAGGUUGCAGUGAGCCAAGAUUGUGCCACUCAGUGCACUCCANNNNNNNNNNUCCUUCCUUCUUUCCUUCCCCUCCUUCCCCAGCCCCCGUUCUUUCUUUCUAUCUUUUUUUUUUUUGAGAUGGGUCUUGCUCUAUCACCCAGGCUGGAGUGCACUGAGUGGCACAAUCUUGGCUCACUGCAACCUCUGCCUCCUGGGUUCAAAUGAUUCUUCUGCCUCAG
Molecule: non-coding RNA, 300 nt
Organism: Chlorocebus sabaeus (green monkey)
Lineage: Eukaryota; Metazoa; Chordata; Mammalia; Primates; Cercopithecidae
Rfam family: Metazoan signal recognition particle RNA
About the family: The signal recognition particle (SRP) is a universally conserved ribonucleoprotein. It is involved in the co-translational targeting of proteins to membranes.
Source: Rfam